RNAcentral lists this ribosomal RNA (119 nucleotides) under Helianthus annuus (common sunflower). Lineage: Eukaryota; Viridiplantae; Streptophyta; Magnoliopsida; Asterales; Asteraceae. The record is from RNAcentral.
GGUUGCGAUCAUACCAGCACUAAUGCACCGGAUCCCAUCAGGACUCCGCAGUUAAGCGUGCUUGGGUGAGAGUAGUACUAGGAUGGGUGACCCCCUGGGAAGUCCUCGUGUUGCAACCC